UACAGAGGGGGCUAGCGUUGUUCGGAAUUACUGGGCGUAAAGGGCGCGUAGGCGGCCUGCUAAGUCACACGUGAAAUCCCUCGGCUCAACCGGGGAACUGCGUGUGAUACUGGCGGGCUCGAAUUCGGGAGAGGGAUGUGGAAUUCCAGGUGUAGCGGUGAAAUGCGUAGAUAUCUGGAGGAACACCGGUGGCGAAGGCGGCAUCCUGGACCGAGAUUGACGCUGAUGCGCGAAAGCUAGGGUAGCAAACGGG
Molecule: ribosomal RNA, 253 nt
Filed under: uncultured bacterium
Lineage: Bacteria
Description: partial 16S ribosomal RNA
Rfam family: Bacterial small subunit ribosomal RNA
Source: RNAcentral